RNAcentral lists this ribosomal RNA (318 nucleotides) under Triticum aestivum (bread wheat). RNAcentral's name for it is "partial small subunit ribosomal RNA". The record is from RNAcentral. Lineage: Eukaryota; Viridiplantae; Streptophyta; Magnoliopsida; Poales; Poaceae.
AUGCAACGGCAAGAGGAGUCCAGCGAGGACAUCGUGAUCGUGGGAGCCGGGCUCGCCCCCGCGCUCGGGCUGCACAUGAAAGGGGUGAGGAGCGUGGUGCUGGAGUCAUCCCCGGCGCUCCGGGCCUCGGGGUUCGCCUUCGCCACCUGGCCCGACGCCUUCUGCGCGCUCGAUGCCCUCGGCAUCGGCGACCAGAUCAGAAAGCUCCACCUGCACAUCCAAGGGCUGCGCGUCAUGUCGGUGUCCACGGGUGAGAUAGCGAAGGAAGUGGACUUCAGGGACGAGUUCCGCUGCGUCAGGCGUGAUGUGCUGCUGUAG